Molecule: ribosomal RNA, 468 nt
Filed under: uncultured bacterium
Lineage: Bacteria
Description: partial 16S ribosomal RNA
Rfam family: Bacterial small subunit ribosomal RNA
Source: RNAcentral
GACGAACGCUGGCGGCGUGCUUAACACAUGCAAGUCGAACGGAAAGGCCCUGCUUUUGUGGGGUGCUCGAGUGGCGAACGGGUGAGUAACACGUGAGUAACCUGCCCUUGACUUUGGGAUAACUUCAGGAAACUGGGGCUAAUACCGGAUAGGAGCUCCUGCUGCAUGGUGGGGGUUGGAAAGUUUCGGCGGUUGGGGAUGGACUCGCGGCUUAUCAGCUUGUUGGUGGGGUAGUGGCUUACCAAGGCUUUGACGGGUAGCCGGCCUGAGAGGGUGACCGGCCACAUUGGGACUGAGAUACGGCCCAGACUCCUACGGGAGGCAGCAGUGGGGAAUGUUGCACAAUGGGCGGAAGCCUGAUGCAGCAACGCCGCGUGCGGGAUGAAGGCCUUCGGGUUGUAAACCGCUUUCGCCUGUGACGAAGCGUGAGUGACGGUAAUGGGUAAAGAAGCACCGGCUAACUACGUG